Molecule: long non-coding RNA, 3427 nt
Organism: Oncorhynchus tshawytscha (Chinook salmon)
Lineage: Eukaryota; Metazoa; Chordata; Actinopteri; Salmoniformes; Salmonidae
Source: Ensembl
GCGGAACACUAAUUUAACCCACACAUUUUGUAGAGGGGCGGCUUUAGGCGGAACACAACAGUAUCGUACCAUAUGCAUCUUUGCAUAUGCAAGUUUUUUUCUAUUCGGAAGUUGUAAGAAAUUCCGCACGAAUGUUAUAGUUCAAGCACAAAGAAGGAAAUAUAGAAGUGAGUAAAAUUGAUCAUAUGUUGUAUUUGUAUUAAAAGCAUUACAGAAGUGUACCAUUAGAUCAGCUUAUCUUAACCUGGCCGUUUGUUACUUUGUGGCAGUAUGAAAAAUGAUAAAAUAUAUGAUCAACAAACUCAUGGUGCUGAGUGUUUUUACUUAAAGGCAGUCGCUGUUCAAACUGGAUAAGUCCUUUGCGCAACUGCAGUGAAGACUUCGCGCGCCGUUCCCGCAAUUUCGCAUAAAUUGUUGAGACACACCUCUAAACAAAAGAACGGAAAGUUUUCAGCUCUUCACGGUUGAAGACGGGAAGUUUUAGCAGAAGUAUUCUAGAUUCACACGAUAGAGAACACAGCAAUUUUGACGGACUGGGUCGAGGAAACGAAACGCAAACCAAGCAAGAUAAAUGUUGCCUUAUCGGCUCGCUUGUCAGGACUGUGGUGUGAAGUUUGACACCAUCCGCCGCUUCAAGCAGCAUGUCCGCAGGAAGCAACAUCAACAGCAAGUGGCAGAGCUCUUCCAGACAGAUGAGUACCACGGUCAAGUCUACUUUGCCCCUUUCUUGGUUCUGGAGCAUCUGGCCAGGAAACCCACAAACACCCCAUAUCCCAUCAUCGGUCUGUGCCUGGUGACAUUGUGUGUGAGUCCAGAGGGGAGGGAUACUUUCUACCUUUGUCACAGUUGUGAGGAGAAGUGUGGCCCAGGACAGAUCAUAGACCACCUCCUCUCUGCUGACCACCUCUCCAACUACUAUAGCUACACAGACCCUGAUGUGUUGAGUUUCUCCUGGAUGCCUAACAUGGAUAUGUUGAACCUCCUACGGCCGCUAGCUGUCAAAGAGAUGGACAAGGAUGGACCUGGAGUGCUACGGGUGCUGGACAUGCCUAAGAGUGUGUCUGUGAAAUUGAAGACAAGUGGCUACUCUAAAGUCAUGCAGGCCCUGACUCAGACUGACAGGCUGGCUGAGUGUAUCAGAGCUGACAGACCAGAAAGGAUGACUAUACAAGAGUACCACAGAGACCCCAACAGGAAACACCCUCUGCUGGGUCUACAGCACCUGGUGGAGUACUGCUGUGAAGGGCAUGGCCAAAGGAGAUCCUACCUCUGUCAGCUCUGCCGCCUCCCUGUCCCCUCACGGAGGGUCAUCCAACACACACUCGGCUUCGACCACCUCUACUGGUACUUCAAGGUGUUUCACCCCUCCACCCUCCUGAUGAAGGACUGUUAUAAAGAGUACAGCUGCAGGUUCAUCGCCAUGAUCCUGGACCUGGCCAAUCAGGUGCAAGACAUCAGUCAGUCAGCCAAUAUGGAGAUACAGCAAGUUGUGUUGGAACCAGCAGUGUUCUCCUCAGUUGAGUUUUCUGUCUACACAGAGGCUCUGAGGAAGUUGCAGACCAUUAGGAGAGCUCGUAAGGAGGGCAGCCUUAAGACCAGCAUUAUACCUGGAGACAAACUGGUUCCUUCCUCAGAAGGGUCAAAGAUUACCAAAGAUGUUACCAUGACUAAUGUUGCUGAGGCUGUUCCUAUGGAGACCAAGUCAAGCCCAGUGAAGACCUAUGUCACACCUACAGCUGUUGAGACUGUAGCUACAGCAAGUACUGCUCCAGUUGUUACCAAAGCUACUAGCCAGAGGGGGACCUGUCGACUGCACUGUCAGGACUGCAACGUGGUAUGUGAGUCUGUGUCGCAGUACAAGUUACAUGUGCGUCACUGGAAACACAAGGAGAUGCUAGGAGUUAUCUUUGAACCAGGGGAAGAGGACAGUAAAGCCUGCAUCCCAUCCUUUACCUUGUAUGAGUACAUCCGGAACUCAGAAAGAACUGAACCAAUUAUUGGUGUCUAUCUGUUGGUGAUGUGUUUGAGUACUGAGUGUUGGAAAACGCCCUUCUACCUGUGUCACACCUGUCAGGAGAUAAUCCCUGCCAAUCUCGUCAUGACUCACCUCACCUCCACACUCCACCUUCGACGCACCCUGAUGUACCAGAGUCCGCAGUGUCUGCCAUUCGGGUGGGGGACAGAAAUGGGCCUGGAGGUCCUGAAGACUUUGGCCUGGGAGGAGGAGAGAGUCCGAGGAGAGAGAGACAAUGUACUGAAGGUGUUUGAUAUUCCUGACAGUGUUUUCCACAGCAUUAAGAUGUCCUCCUACUCCUCCGCCAUGAAGAAACUCAAGAACUUCCAUCGUUAUCUAAAAGUUGACAGGCCGCUGACGUUUUCCGCCCAUCUGAAAAACAAAGACCGGAGGAUUCCUAUGCUGGGUCUGCAGUUCCUGGUUCAGUACAGUGUUACUAGGGCCGGGGCCUCGUCUCCAGGCUGGGGCUUCCUGUGUUUGUUGUGUGAGAGGAAGUUGUCAGACGGACUCAGCAUCGCUCACAUACACAGCUAUGAACAUGUCACCACGUUCCUGGAGCGUGCCCAUCCAGGCUCUGUGAAAGAGGUAGAGGAGUCUGAUAAGAGGAGCGAAAUACUGCUGGACCUGGCACAACAGGCUGAGAAAAUACACGCCAUGGGGUGUCUACAGGUAUCACACACACACUCACUCCACCAGACGUGUCCAGGUAAAACACUCCAAACCAACACAAAAAACCCACAGUUAUACCCUGUAGUGAUGCAUUGUCCUCAUCCCUCACUCUCUCCUUCUCCCUCUAUCCCUUAUAAGUUCAUGAUGUUGCAACGCUACAUCGGGGAGUCAGUCAUCUAUGAGAAAGCCUUAGUGAUCUUGAAGGCGAUCAAGAAGAGAGAGAACAUGGGAGACCUGAUGCCCAUGCUACCACCUGGCAAGAAACUGGUUCCCUCCAGUUCGAUCAGAGACCAGAGCCAGACUACCCCAGAACCUGCCCCUACAUCUGUAGGAGAGGAGAAACCGACCAGGAAAGAGACUGACAAAGACAAUGAGACCGAGAUGGACAGAGAGGCCACCCCAGAAACCAUUCAAAUGACCCAGGAGACUGGGGUGGAAGUGGACAAACGCAUUGGCAAAGAAACCUGCAGUGACCCCAGUAAAGACACUGGCAGAGAGACCAGUAAAGACACUGGCAGAGAGACCAGUAAAGACACUGGCAGAGAGACCAGUAAAGACACUGGCAGAGAGACCAGUAAAGACACUGGCAGAGAGACCAGUAAAGACACUGGCAGAGAGACCAGUAAAGACACUGGCAGAGAGACCAGCAGAGAGACCAGUAAAGACACUGGCAGAGAGACCAGUAAAGACACUGGCAGAGAGACCAGUAAAGACACUGGCAGAGAGACCAGUAAAGACACUGGC